This 456-nucleotide ribosomal RNA is filed under the name Brevitrygon walga (dwarf whipray). Its description in RNAcentral is "partial large subunit ribosomal RNA". It matches the Rfam family "Bacterial large subunit ribosomal RNA", at positions 1929 to 2533 of the family's 2925-position model. The record is from RNAcentral. Lineage: Eukaryota; Metazoa; Chordata; Chondrichthyes; Myliobatiformes; Dasyatidae.
GGCCCGGUUUUGACCGUGAAGGUAGCUAACAAUUGUUUUUUAAUAGAAGGACCGUAUGAAAGGCAUUACGAGAGUUUAACUGUCUUUAUUUUCCAAUCAAUGAAAUUAAUCUCCUCGUGCAGAAGCGAGGAUGUUAACAUAAGACGAGAAGACCCUAUGGAGCUUUAAACACUUAAGUUAUCUUGAAAAUAAAUACGCGUCCUCGGAUAUAAAUACUUAAAAAAGUCUUAACUUAACUUGUUUUUGGUUGGGGUGACCAAGGAGAAAAACAAAACCUCCUUAUCGAAUGUGUGAUUAAUCACUCAAAAAUUAGAAUUACUAUUCUAAUCAAUAGAAAAUCUAACGAACAAUGACCCAGGGAACUCCUCCCUGAUCAAUGAACCAAGUUACCCUAGGGAUAACAGCGCAAUCCUUUCCAAGAGCCCCCAUUACGGAAAGGGUUUACGACUCGAUGUU